UGAAUUGUUCUAAGUUGGGGCCUUAGUGCUUCAUACCUGAACAUCCAAGGUCAUUUCCAUCCUUGCUUGGACCCUUUAAUGGAAGUACUACGCGUAAUAGGCUGGUCUCUCCUAGCAUCAAAUAGAAGUCUCGCAAGCUUAGAUGCCUGAAGUCUGUUGAACAAUGUUUUAUAUUAUUUUGCGAUCCGCCUGUGGAUCUUUUACUUUCCGUUUGUAAUACUUGGAUAUUACUUCAUAUCGGAUUGUAAUAUAUUUUGCUUCCGCUGU
RNAcentral lists this long non-coding RNA (267 nucleotides) under Helianthus annuus (common sunflower). RNAcentral describes it as "hypothetical non coding rna". The record is from RNAcentral. Lineage: Eukaryota; Viridiplantae; Streptophyta; Magnoliopsida; Asterales; Asteraceae.